UACACAGGAAAGCAGGGGAGGGGAGAGAAGCCUUCUCAUUGCCUGGGCACAGCUGAGCUGAAUAAUAUAAGCCAGGAGCUUCUGGUGGCCAUGCCUCCUGUGCCUGUCCUCGCAAGGAUGAAGUCAUCCCCAGUAAGAGAAAAUGAGGCCUGAGCACAGAGAAAAGUCAAGACGAAUGACGGAGGCAAAGGGAUGGGAGUAGGAAGCCAAAGAAGCCUGAAUAAUCAAGAAAUUGGUACCUGCAAACGGGGACUUGUAAGCAAUAAGGUAACAGGAUGUGCGAUGGGACUGUUCCUGUUGUCCGGGAAUUCCAGCUAAAGCCCAGAGGCGAGGACAAAGAGGCUCUAAGCCAAGAAGCACACCACCUGCUGAAGCGAGCUGCCCACCAUGGCACACGCUGCCUACCCGGGCUCACCAAAAGGUGACCUGCUGUCCCCAUCGCUCCUUCCUAAUCUGUACGAGAUGACUGGGAAGGAGAAAAAGGGGAGACGGAGGCAGAAUCAUCUGUCCUGCGGGGAGGGCAGUGUUUGUGGUGAGAGGUGACCUCCCCCUAAGCCAAAUACUGGGACACUCUGGGGGUUCUGCCCAGAGAGGGGGCCCUGAGGGAAGGGGAGACUGGCCUGCUGUUCCCUGGUUGGCUAUUAUUUUCUAAUGUGCCCUUGGACUUACCGAAGGAAGGUGGAGGAGAAUGGGCACUGUUUCAGGAUGGGAAUGGGGCAAAGGGAGAGCUCCCUGCACUCCUACUGUUGCCCUGACAAGAAGGGAAGAAUUUCCAUUCGGGCUAAGUGGACAUCGUGGACGGUAGCUGGGCUUGGGCCCACAGGUCCUCCAGAGGACUCACCAGCAUUUGAAUAUCUGCCUCAGAGGGGGAGUCAGUCACUGUGAGCCCAAAACACAGUAACAGCGGGCCUAGAAAGGACGGCAGCUGUGGCCAGGUGGGUAAAGAUGCUCUCGUCCAGUUUCCUCUCCUUCUGCCCAGCCCAAACACACCAGUGAGCUUUGAAGCCAGAUACCCGAGGGUUACCAUAGAAAUGUGGAUGAAGACAGUGGGGACUGAAGUCAGGUUUCUGAGGGUUACUGUAGAUAUUCAAUAUGAACAUGAUUGCCUUUCACAAUUUGCUAUUUUCUUGUUUGAGCUGAGGGGUGACUCAGGGGUCAUGAGGACCUGUGAGCCUGUUUUGCUGAAGAGAGAACGCCUUCAGGGAUGUUGUGAUGACAGGACGAUCAGCCCCCCAGUGGCUGUUGACGCCCAGAAGUCAGAUUGCCCAGGAGCUUCUCUACAGUGAAAGAAAUACGGACUUACCCUUCGUUUCUCCAAAACUCCUCCUGCCAAGCCCCUUGGCUCUGUAAAACGCCCUGCUUUCUUCUCUGGUUAAGGCAGAUUUAAGAGAACCUCUCCUCCCGCCUUCUUGUUUCGGUGAAUUCAAAUAAACCUUUCUCCGUCUCCACGCAGGGAUGGCUCAGCGACUGACCUACUGCGCGUGGGUGUGUGAACUGGAGACUAAGAGGUUCCCUAUGGAGCGGGGCCUUGAAGAAGGGAGGGAGGGAUAGCUCAGAACCUGAUCACGCUCCUUCCCCAGCUUCAUUGCUAGCAGUCAGGAUUCCAGUUCAAGACCGCUCCAUGUGAGGGCAGGGGAAAAGGGAGAAGAGAUUUUAAUCAUUUGAGAUUGAAGUCUAAAAGUAGACUGGACCUUUAAGAACCAGGAAGGGGAGUCUUCCUGUGUCUGGCCGGCCCUGUCUGCCCCCAGGGAGCAUUUCCCACCCCCAACUCUGCCCUGCAGUGGGGUGGGGCCAGAUCCCCGCAGGCUGUGCUGCCCAGGCCCACAGGCCUGAGUACCUGGCUUCUGGCUCCUUUGGUAGGUGAGGGACUGGCAAGCAGGAGGAAGGGAGGAGUCAGGCAUUUUCCUUCCAUCCUCUCUGCCUCCAGUGCAGUUGCUGGCUGCCGGCUCUUCUUCUCUUCUGCCUCCAGGCUCAGCGCGGUCCAGCUUUUGCUGUUUGAGCCUCGCCUCCGGGCUGUGGGAACACGUCUUCCUCCAUUUGCCCCUCUGUUGAUAAUAUCUGGAUAGUCUUACUGUGCCCUGUUCAGCUUCUCAGCUUUUCCAUCACUUGUGUAACUUAUCAUCUGCAUCAAAUUCCCUCUGUUUCAAAUACUUAAAGUGCUUUUUGUCUUUUGAGCGGACCUUAACUCAUCUUUUUCCCCAGAGGUUUAUAAGGGUCUAUGCUGUAAAGGACGCUGCUAUAAAUAUCGCAGGGUCGGGGAUAGCAUUUGUAAGAAAUCAAAUAGUUUUAUAUUAAUAUCUUCAUCAAGACAUCUCAAUAGACUAGUUACAAACACCCCAACUCAAAUGUCAUCUCUUCAGAAGGGUAUCUCAGCAUCCCUCACCCCAGUGGCAUCCCAUUACCUUAUUUUGUGUUUUUUAAAGCCGUUUUCAGUACCUGAAUUCAUCUUAUCUAUUUAUUUGUGUCCAUGUGUAUUAUCUCCCUCCCCUCCCACUGGAAGAUAAGAUCCUUGAGGCCAGUAACUCUUGCUGUAUCCCUAUGCGCUCAAUAAUUAAUAACUGACCGGCCAGCAUCAGGACCUGGUGAAAUGGAGUGUGCGCCAUCCUGAGACGCUCCACCAGCAGCAGCGGGAUGUGAUAGUUGUACGUCUCUUGGUUGUCAAAUCUUGAGGGGCAUCCUCCUUUUUUUGAGGAAUUGCUCCUAUCCCACCCAUAAAAAUAGCUAAGAAUGCAGAAUUUGUGGAGAGGAUCAAAGAUAUUAAGAUGUCACAUUUACUGUUGCUGCCAUGACCGAAGCCGAAAAGCAGCACAGAACCGUGCGGAGGGUGGGCCCUGACUUGGACCUGCCUCUAAGGAGGGGUGAGCCUGGACUGCUGAGUGGGGGUGUAGGAGCUGCCUCUGCGUCUGCACCUUUAGCAGCCCUCUAGCCCAUCUCUGGCUUCAGCCACGGCUGUGGUAGGCAGUUCCACUCUGCUUUUGCUGCUGGUAUUCCACCUGCAGACUCAUGCCACCUGUCUUUCUCCAUUCCACGCUCAGACCUUCUCCCAAUGCCCGGAAGCUUUCUGGGCUGGCUUGCAAGCCCAGCUCAGAAAUGCAGAGGAGUUAAUACCCUAUAGGCAACCCUCAACCAACACAGAACGGUGGCUGAUGGACAAAUGCUCCAGCCUCCAGUCCAACAGGUGGAGACUUUCGGGAGAUAUUCUGCACGCUUCUCAGAGGUCCUGGUGGAAUUGAACUCCCACCGCUGACAGUAGUGACCUCAACAAUGCAUCCAUAGAUGAACUCUCCCCUUCUCUGUCUCACUCCCCCUGUCCCUUCACUCCUGCUUCCUGGGAUCACCUGUACCAAGUCUUGUCUCAGGCUCUGCUUUGGGGGACACUACAGUCUGGGAAAUGUUUGAUGUGGACAGAAGCAGGACUAAUGGUGGAACUUCUAAGUUAGCCUCCCUCCUGCAUGUGGGAUGCCUUGAAGAAAGCUGCAGCGUAGAUGAAAAGGAAACGCUAUACCAUCUAACAGCUGGGACACCGGAGACCAGGCGGUUCUGCUGCAGGCCCCAUAACCACCGAGGACACUAUGAGAAGCAGCGCCCUUCCUCGAGCUCUGAGAAAGCACCCCUGCUUGGACCGACUGAGACCUGUGUCAGCGAAAGCUGGGGCGGUGUGGGUGACAGGACUACCAGAACAGGGUGAUCCUGUCAGAGCCCCUCUCUUCAGGACUGCCAUGCCUUCAGCACAGCUCUCAGCAGCACCAGCUCUCCACUAACAGCCAAUGGAGCGCCGACCAACACCUGGCAAGUGAAUCUGGCUGCAGGGACAUCCCUAAGGUCCCCUCCCCCAGCAGGUGUCCACAGAGCAACACUGAGUAGGACUGAUUCCUGGGCAAAUGUAAGCAACCCUGGAAUAUUUGAAGGUAGAAUUAUUGAAAAAUAUUUGACGAAGAAAAGGAUUGAACUUUGUGCUAAUUUCACACCUAGCAGAUCAGAGCUGUAAUUGAGGCUUAAAAAGAAACACGAACGCACUUUAUCAUCACAAGUUGGUAAAGUCAGGAAUGUACUUUACAACCACUUUAUCAACAUUUAGUCAAACAUUUCCCAAAACUCAUUCAUUUGCCUAGUAUCUAACAAUUUACUAUCUGUACUAUUCGUUACUUAAUAUUUUUCUUUAAACCAAAACACUUUUUCAAACUUAAAUAUCCACUUAAGCUUCAUAUUGAAUGAAAAUAAAUGUGGAAUUAUGGAUCUGGUGCUACUUAUGUUUUUCUAACACAUAUGAAAAUAAGCACAUAACUAUUAGAAAAAUCACCUCAAUUUAUAUGUGGUAUGCGUAUUUCACAUUGGGCAACAUCGAUU
Molecule: long non-coding RNA, 4347 nt
Organism: Equus caballus (horse)
Lineage: Eukaryota; Metazoa; Chordata; Mammalia; Perissodactyla; Equidae
Source: Ensembl